Long non-coding RNA from Pezoporus flaviventris, 393 nucleotides. RefSeq lists it as uncharacterized. NCBI's taxonomy places the organism in Eukaryota, Metazoa, Chordata, Aves, Psittaciformes, Psittacidae. The transcript is spliced from 3 exons. The record is from RefSeq and is a predicted model, not a curated record.
CUAGACAUCCAUGUCUAUUGGUUUAAAUCAUGCCCCUUUAAACUGAGACGCAUUAACUGAGUGUUUUGAUUCAGCAGGGUUAAUGAAUAAAGUUCACAGUGAUCAGCACUGUAGGGAGUGAUCUUGGGAACUGUACGAUCUCAGGCCAGGAUUUUUUUCUAACAAAAUUCUUCAAGUUCUAUACAGAAAUCUGGAUUUUCCUGGCUAUUCAGCCCAAAAUGAUUGGGAUUUUUUCAGACAACUGCCUGUGGCAAUUUCACAAGAAAUGGUUUCAAACCUAGUGGGUGAAUGGCUACUCAAGAGAGGAAUAUUACAAAUAUACAGAGAGCCUGUAGGGAAUGGAGAGACAGCUCAAUCAGCAAAUAGAUCUGCUUCAGAAGUCAGAAAGCUUAG